GGCCGGAGACCGACUAGUCCGAAUUUUACUCUCAAACUGUACGGUUUGACAGCAGCGCAGUUGUUAGCAGAAUAACAGUAUCGCAGAGAGAGUGCAGAGAGGUGGGCAGGCAGGGCAAGCCAGCGCGUCGUGUGUUUUCUUCUUUCUUCCUUAAAAAAAUCUGCCACACUGCCACAAAAAACAACAACAGUUGUUCCAGAGAGAGAGAGAGAGAGCUAGCGAGCGAGCGAGAGAGAGAAUAUCCAAAAGUUUAAACAAUUAAAAUCUGUGGGCUUCAGUGCAAUACCAAGUCGAACACUAAAAAACAUUCCAACUAAAACUCGUUUAACCCUUGAUCCAAGUGCAAUUAAAAACAAACAAAAAUCCACUACAAAAAAAAAAUCAACGAAAAGUUUUUUGUGACGCUGUGUUCAUUGUUUUGCUUAUAAAAAAAUAAAUACAAAAAUCAAAAACCAAUUAACUUUUAUAUUCUUCAAAAAAAAACAAAAAAUAUAUUAUAAACUUAAUAAGCAUUUAAACAAACAAUUGCUGCAAUAAAAAUACAUAAUUUUGUGCAAUAAAAAAAAACGCCUUAAAAAAGUCUAAGGAUUUUUGCUAAAUCAAAAUAAAAACAAAAAACUUUCUAAAUAAGAUAAAUUGUUAUAUAAAAAAAAAAAAGUUUCUAAAAUUUUAAAUACAAGCAAAUUUUGUCAACUAUUCAAGUGCUAAAUAAAUACAGUUAAAAUACAAUUUGCGGAGACGGAUUACAAUUAAGACUUUAACUGCAAUUUUUUCCAUCUUUGUA
Molecule: long non-coding RNA, 784 nt
Organism: Drosophila miranda
Lineage: Eukaryota; Metazoa; Arthropoda; Insecta; Diptera; Drosophilidae
Exons: 2
Source: RefSeq, a predicted model, not a curated record